AUUUUGGACAAUGGGGGAAACCCUGAUCCAGCCAUCCCGCGUGUAUGAUGAAGGCCUUCGGGUUGUAAAGUACUUUUGGCAGAGAAGAAAAGGUAUCCCCUAAUACGGGAUACUGCUGACGGUAUCUGCAGAAUAAGCACCGGCUAACUACGUGCCAGCAGCCGCGGUAAUACGUAGGGUGCAAGCGUUAAUCGGAAUUAAUGGGCGUAAAGCGUGUUGAGGCGGGUCGGGAAGAAAAGAGUUAAAACCCAAGGCUUCAACCUGGGAAUGCAUUUUUAACCUGCGAGGUAGAGGAUGGUAGGAGGGGGUAGAAUUCCACGUGUAGCAGUGAAAUGCGUAGAUAUGUGGAGGAAUACCGAUGGCGAAGGCAGCCCCCUGGGAUAAUACUGACGCUCAGACACGAAAGCGUGGGGAGCAAACAGG
Molecule: ribosomal RNA, 423 nt
Filed under: uncultured bacterium
Lineage: Bacteria
Description: partial 16S ribosomal RNA
Rfam family: Bacterial small subunit ribosomal RNA
Source: RNAcentral